CCUACGGGAGGCAGCAGUGGGGGAUAUUGCACAAUGGGGGAAACCCUGAUGCAGCGACGCCGCGUGUGGGAAGACGGUCCUCUGGAUUGUAAACCACUGUCCCCAGGGACGAAGAUGACGGUACCUGGGGAGGAAGCUCCGGCUAACUACGUGCCAGCAGCCGCGGUAAUACGUAGGGAGCGAGCGUUGUCCGGAAUUACUGGGUGAAAAGGGAGGGUAGGCGGGACUGCAAGUUGGGUGUCAAAUCUACCGGCUCAACCGGUAGCCGCACUCAAAACUGCAGUUCUUGAGUGAAGUAGAGGCAGGCGGAAUUCCUAGUGUAGCGGUGAAAUGCGUAGAUAUUAGGAGGAACACCAGUGGCGAAGGCGGCCUGCUGGGCUUUUACUGACGCUGAGGCUCGAAAGUGUGGGGAGCAAACAGGAUUAGAUACCCCAGUAGUC
This 440-nucleotide ribosomal RNA is filed under the name uncultured bacterium. Its description in RNAcentral is "partial 16S ribosomal RNA". It matches the Rfam family "Bacterial small subunit ribosomal RNA", at positions 338 to 795 of the family's 1533-position model. The record is from RNAcentral.